RNAcentral lists this ribosomal RNA (279 nucleotides) under uncultured bacterium. RNAcentral's name for it is "partial 16S ribosomal RNA". It matches the Rfam family "Bacterial small subunit ribosomal RNA", at positions 506 to 784 of the family's 1533-position model. The record is from RNAcentral.
UGCCAGCCGCCGCGGUAACACGGGGGGCGCAAGCGUUAUUCGGAAUUAUUGGGCGUAAAGCGCGCGUAGGCGGCUUAGUAAGUUGAUAGUGCAAGCCCGGGGCUCAACCCCGGAAUUGCUCUCAAAACUGCUAGGCUAGAGUAUGGUAGGGGAUAGCGGAAUUCCUAGUGUAGAGGUGAAAGUCGUAGAUAUUAGGAGGAACACCAGUGGCGAAGGCGGCUAUCUGGGCCAUUACUGACGCUAAGGCGCGAAAGCGUGGGGAGCAAACAGGAUUAGCUA